Long non-coding RNA from Erinaceus europaeus (western European hedgehog), 386 nucleotides. RefSeq lists it as uncharacterized. The transcript is spliced from 3 exons. Lineage: Eukaryota; Metazoa; Chordata; Mammalia; Eulipotyphla; Erinaceidae. The record is from RefSeq and is a predicted model, not a curated record.
UGACUAGCUCUCCACAAGGAAAGGGAAUUCUAUAGAAGACUGAGCCCAUUUUUUUUUUCCCAAUCAAAAGAAGUAACGUGCACAACCGGGAUAGAAAUGCAGAUCACAACCUAAUCAAUGCAAUGAGUGUCACCCCAGCAUGCUUCACUUCAGACUGUGUCCAAAGACUUCAGGUGUGGAAUGACAACCCUUCAGCUUCAUUACUCAGCCACCAGGUUCUGGAUGCCAGCAUGAUACCGACCAGACUUCCCUGGACUGAUGACCCCACCAAUGUGUCCUGGAGCUCCGCUUCCCCAGAGACCUACCGCACUAGGGAAAGAGAGAGGCAGGCUGGGAGUAUGGAUCGACCUGUCAAUGCCCAUAUUCAGUGGGGAAGCAAUUACAGA